GGCGGCGUAGCUCAACCGGUUAGAGCAUACGGCUCAUAUCCGUAGUGUUGGGGGUUCAAGUCCCUCCGCCGCUACCA
Molecule: transfer RNA, 77 nt
Filed under: bacterium
Lineage: Bacteria
Also listed under: 1 other name
Description: tRNA-Met
Rfam family: tRNA
About the family: Transfer RNA (tRNA) molecules are approximately 80 nucleotides in length. Their secondary structure includes four short double-helical elements and three loops (D, anti-codon, and T loops).
Source: RNAcentral